Molecule: long non-coding RNA, 4697 nt
Filed under: Olea europaea subsp. europaea
Lineage: Eukaryota; Viridiplantae; Streptophyta; Magnoliopsida; Lamiales; Oleaceae
Source: RNAcentral
UUUUAUAUUAAAAAGAAAAUUUUAUACAAUUCAAAAGAUGGAAUAGCAAAAUAAAACUUCUUUCACAACCCGAAAGAUUAGGCUAGCAUAAGAUUUAACAUUCUCACAUUUUGAGAUGUAAAAUUAGUAAUCAAACUACUAACAUCAAGUUUUUCCAACAUAUUUUUUUAAUAGAAAUCAUAGCUAAUCCAUUCAAUCGCUCUUGUGACAUGGAUGAUCGAAGAUAAGACUUAAUCAAUUUCAACUUCGAAAAACUUCUUUCAGCAGAGACAACUAUGACAUGAAUGGUCAAUAAUACUCUAUAAGCAAUCCAGGCAUUUGCAAAACAACAGUUCAUUCUCUUAAUGUAAUCCAAUACAUCAAUUGCUCCAAAUAUGUUUUCAGACAUCGCUUCCCUUAAAAUUUUCAACUCAGAAAAUAAUUCCGUUUCAUCAAUAUCAGAAAUCGUAUUAUGCUUUGAGUAAUUUUCAAGUUUAAUGCAAGAACACUUCAAAACAUCAUCAUCAAUAAAUUUAAGUCUUUUCAAAUCAAAUAAAAAUCCAAAAAUAUCAUCAUAUUUCUGAAAUUGCUCAAAUCUAUUCUCAAGUGAUGAUAGAGCUUGAUCCACUAUAUAUAAGAAAUAAUUGAUCUUAAAAGAUUUUUCAACUGUUUGUGUUAUCUGUUCAGAAGAAGUCUCAUCAAACUGCUUUUUCUAUGUAUAACCCGUUUUUCACGAAAGAUCGGUUCAAUUUCUAAUUCACUUGCAAUCUCUUUAGCAUCUACCAUGGCCGAUUCAAAACCAGAUUCUCUAUAACUUUUGAAAAUUGAAAUGAGGCCUUUUAAAUGGUCUAUAGAAACAUCAAUAUGCAUGUCUUCCGCUUGCAAAUAUUUUCUUACUCUGUUAAUAUUAUUCAAUACUUCAUACCAAAUAAUCAUCCCAAGUAAGAAUUCAAAAUUGUCAAUUUCAUAUGUUGCCAAACACUCCGCCUCACUUUUUGUCUUAGGAUCAUCAAUAUUUGCUAAUUGAAGUAACGCUUUUUUUAUCUGCGGAGCUUGAAAUCUUAUCGCUCUAACACUUUCAAUAUGACUUUCCCACCGAGUUUGUGACAAGGGCUUAAGGGUAAGACCAGUUACGUUCUCUUUGAAAAUUUUCCACCGUUUAGUAGAUGAAGAAAAUAAAGUGUAUAUACGUUGCACCACCCCCAAAGAAAGAUUUAGCUUUUGAACAACAAGUGGCCAUAUCACAAAGUGCAAGAUUAAGACUAUGACAUCCACAAGGACUGUAGAAUGCUCUAGGAUUUAGUUGUAAUAAUCUACUUUGAACUCCUUUAUGUUGUCCUUUCAUGUUAGCACCAUUAUCAUAGCCUUGACCCCUUACAUCAUCAAUAUCAAGUUCUAAAUUAUUCAAAGCAUCCACUAGUUCAUCAAAAAGUCCCUUACCUGAUGUAUCAUCCACCAAUAAAAAUCCUAAAAAGAAUUCUUCAACCUUCACUGGACUUGCCGAAAUAUCUACACACCUCAAUAUUAUAGACAUUUGUUCUUCAUGACUUGUAUCUGGAGUGCAAUCAAGAAUAACAGAAAAGUAUUUAGAAUUUUUGAGUUUCUCAAUGAUUAUUUUUUUUAUCUCGCCCGCUAGCAUAAGUAUCAGCUCAUUCUGAAUUUUGUGUCCUAGAUAAUGAUAAUGAAUCUCUUUAUUUUUUAUUCGACAAACAUGCUCUUGCAUUACGGGAUCGAACUCAGUAAUCAUUUGAAUCAUGCUUAAGAAGAUACCAUUAUUUUCUUGAUAUAUCUUCUUAUUAUCCCCACGAAAUGCUAAAUUAUUUUUAGCAAGAGUUUUCACCACAGAUAUUAUUCUCAGUAAUACUUGUCUCCAAUGUUCUCUAUCUCUAUUGAUUUGUUCUUGCACACUUUUAUCAAUUGUUUGACUCUUUUCGAAAUCUUAAUUCCAUUUCUAUCCAUUUACUCAUGUUAUUGAUGUGGUCACAACUCACUUCAUGCAUUUUAAGCUUUUCACCAAUAUUUUUCCAAUCAUUUAUUCCAUCAUGUGCCAAUUGAGUUCUGAUCCCAUCAUUCUUAAAUAGCUUACAACAAAAGCAAAAUACUUUAUCCAAACUUUUUGAAUAUAUCAACCAUUUUCUAUCAUAAGUCUCUCCAUUAGGUAAUCUUCGAACAUAAUGUAUGGAUGAGAAGUGUCGAUUUGCUCUAUCUUUCAGAAAAAUCAUAUCAUGUUCUCUUACAGGACCUUUCAAUACAAUUAAAUCUCUUAAAUUCGUAUUCAUAUUUCCCCAAUUUGCUGGAUCAAUAAGGUCGAGAAAAAAUGGUUCAUUAUCUUUGUCAGUAGACACCUCUUUAUUCAUCACACAAUGUCCUUCCUCAAUUGUAUUAUUUUUGUUAUCAUUCUCGUUAAACACUUCUCCAGUAACUACAUCUUCAUUAUGUGUUCGUUUACUACUGCCAAAAAACUUAUCGAGUGCCCCCUCUUGAGAUUUAAUCAAUUUUUCAAUCUUUUCCUUUCUUUUUCUUUUGGCACAUCCAGAUUCAAAUUUUCUUGUAGACAUAAUAAUAAGCAAAGAGCGAUAAAACUUGAUUGAUAAGUCCCCAAAUUGAAAGGAUUAUGAAAUUGGUGGUAGUGGUGGUUGCGGUGGUGCUUGAAGUAGACAACGCGGCUAUUCCAAGUUGCGAUUAAAAAUGCAAAGUCUGAAAAAGUGGAGCAAAAAUGGAGCAAAAUAAGAAUUCAUUACUUGUAUAGUUGUAUUGAAAUAAUAUCAAGAGAGGGCACUAAAAUUCUACUGCCGAAAAAUCAAAAAUCAAAACUUAUAUUGAAAUAACAUCACCACUAAUUACUAAAAUCCUAUUCCUACUGGCUACUGCCGAAAAAUGGAAGAAAAAGGCUAAAUUUGAUACAGAGCAAGAGCCUUGCUUGUCUCAAAGUUGUCACACAAUUUGCUCUAGAGUGCCGGCAAUCAAAUUACGCAAAGCAAAUCGAUAAGGAGAUGCCCUCUAUGACGUCUUCUUCAAAAAAAAACUAGUAUAAGAUAAAAAAAAUUAAAAAAAUUAAAAAAAUCAGAUAUAGUAGCAAGAGUUAUUUGGUCAUUUCUAGCAGAAUUUGAGGAUGCAACAGCCUACGAAUUACGAAAUGAUAUUAAGAACUAUUCAAGAAGUUCGAAAUAUUUUCUUCUGCUGUACAGAUUACCGACACUCAAAACCAUGAAAAUAAUAUUACAGGUCCUGCCAUGGCUGUUUCUUUCUGCAUUCUAGCACUUAACAACCUAAACAUGGGCUACAAAUUCGUGUACUCGGGCAAAUGUACAACUGUACAAGAUAAAUUCUUGUUGGAUUUUGUUUAUUAUCAUAAAUGGACAUGAUUUCUGAUUACCAGAAUGAAGGGAAAUUUUUAAUAAAGUAUAAUACAGUUUUGAUAAAAAAAAAUUGACGCCCAACCUGUGGAUUUCACACCUGAGGAUUUCGCCCAACCUGUGGAUUAAUUUUGCCUUCUAGAUCGGAGUGCCGUUUGUGGAGAUUGGAGAAGAUGAAGAGAAGACACUAAUGGAGAAACUGAAUGCAGUCCGUUUGUUUUCCUCUUUUAUGUGUAAACUUCAAUUUAAUUUUUUUUUUUAAAUGAAGUGGACGAUUUUGGGCUUUUUAGAGGCCCCUAAAAUAUGAGGCCCAAGGCAGUGGCCUCACUUGCCUUGGGCCAGGGCCGGCCCUGCCUCCUUAACCAAUAGGUUUACAUAACGUCAUAGGACAUUUCAUCAUUAUAUUGUUUUAAACACAAUUAUCAUUUCCUUCCACCUACAUAUCUAUCAAGGACAAUGUCAAAAAUUCUUUGGUAAAGUAGAAUAAUUCAUGUUUUUUCAAGAAUGCGUGAUUGAAAAUUAGUGUGGAAGAGAAGAUAUUUUCAAAUAAUCACUUUCAAACAUGGACUUAAUUUCAAUUUUGAUAACUCAUUACAAUUCCAAUAAAGGAAAUUGAUAACGUAAUCAAUAUACGAAGGCCACCACACAUGUAUGUUGGUUGCGAUGUUAAAGAAGUACAACUUCAGUUAAAAAAUGAUGACUAUCAUUAUUGAUUGCCACGUUAUCAAUUUUUCCAUUAGCCCAAAUGACGGAAUUGAACAAAGUUACCAAUAAAAUCAAAUUAAAGUGUAAUUAUCUCACAGAAUAAAAUCAAAAAUAAUUACUCCGAAGUAAUUGGAAUAAUUCUAAUUAAAGUUUCGUUUAUAUAUUUCUAUUCGGAAUUAUGGAUAGGCUAACAAAAAAAGAUUUUACACCAAGAAAAACAAAGGUAAACAAAUUGUUACCAAGUACGAAAAUUGAGGGAGAACAAGGGAGUAUUUUAAAUUUGACCAUAAUAUCCUUUACAAAAGGGGGGAAUAUAAACCCUUGUGUACACCAAAAGUGUACAAGUAAAAUAAUUCAUUAUAAUAAUGGACCUACAUAAUAAAUGGGUAAUAAUAUUAAAUGUAUAAUACUUGAUUUUUAUUUUAAAUUAUUAAGAAUUUAUAUUUUUAUUCGAAACAUGCCCACAGUAUACAACGUCGAUAUUUGGGCUCCAUUAAAAUGAGAUCUUCGAGGGAAAUCUAUUUCGGAUUAGUAAUUUUUUGGAAAAUAUUUGGUUAAAAAAUGAGGAAAAGUAUUGAGUUUACUGUAACAAUAUUAUUGGAGAAUGCGUAGUUUAAAAUGAAUUUUGAAAAAAUGCAUUAAAAAAUAAGAAAAAAU